This 344-nucleotide ribosomal RNA is filed under the name uncultured Streptococcus sp. RNAcentral describes it as "bacterial SSU rRNA". It matches the Rfam family "Bacterial small subunit ribosomal RNA", at positions 1036 to 1382 of the family's 1533-position model. Lineage: Bacteria; Bacillati; Bacillota; Bacilli; Lactobacillales; Streptococcaceae. The record is from RNAcentral.
AGGUGGUGCAUGGUUGUCGUCAGCUCGUGUCGUGAGAUGUUGGGUUAAGUCCCGCAACGAGCGCAACCCCUAUUGUUAGUUGCCAUCAUUCAGUUGGGCACUCUAGCGAGACUGCCGGUAAUAAACCGGAGGAAGGUGGGAUGACGUCAAAUCAUCAUGCCCCUUAUGACCUGGGCUACACACGUGCUACAAUGGUUGGUACAACGAGUUGCGAGUCGGUGACGGCGAGCUAAUCUCUUAAAGCCAAUCUCAGUUCGGAUUGUAGGCUGCAACUCGCCUACAUGAAGUCGGAAUCGCUAGUAAUCGCGGAUCAGCACGCCGCGGUGAAUACGUUCCCGGGCCUU